UGAGGAAUAUUGGUCAAUGGGCGCAAGCCUGAACCAGCCAUCCCGCGUGAAGGAAGAAUGCGCUACGCGUUGUAAACUUCUUUUCCAGGGGGAGAAUUUUCCUGUCGAGACAGGGAUUGACGGUACCCUGGGAAUAAGCAUCGGCUAACUCCGUGCCAGCAGCCGCGGUAAUACGGAGGAUGCGAGCGUUAUCCGGAUUUAUUGGGUUUAAAGGGUGCGUAGGCGGAUUGAUAAGUCAGUGGUGAAAUUAUGUAGCUUAACUGUAGACUUG
RNAcentral lists this ribosomal RNA (271 nucleotides) under uncultured bacterium. Its description in RNAcentral is "partial 16S ribosomal RNA". It matches the Rfam family "Bacterial small subunit ribosomal RNA", at positions 355 to 623 of the family's 1533-position model. The record is from RNAcentral.